RNAcentral lists this long non-coding RNA (271 nucleotides) under Olea europaea subsp. europaea. The record is from RNAcentral. Lineage: Eukaryota; Viridiplantae; Streptophyta; Magnoliopsida; Lamiales; Oleaceae.
GGAUAGAUCGAAGGUGAGGUACAACAAUGUGUAUUGUUAUUACUGCAAGAAGAAAUGACACAUUAAGAAAGAUUGCAACAAGUUGCAGGGUAAAGAUGAUUUACAUGCAAAUCAUGCGAGAUAAUCAGGUAACGAGACUAACAUUGUUGAGAAUUUUUCGGAUGAUGGAGAUGUAAUGCUGGCUAUAUCUGAUAGGGAAUCCAAACCUGGGGAGUAGAUUCUGGAUUCUGCAUGUUAGUAUCAUAUGUGUCCCAAUAGGGCUUUAUUUCAG